RNAcentral lists this ribosomal RNA (253 nucleotides) under uncultured bacterium. RNAcentral's name for it is "partial 16S ribosomal RNA". It matches the Rfam family "Bacterial small subunit ribosomal RNA", at positions 524 to 776 of the family's 1533-position model. The record is from RNAcentral.
GACGAACCGUGCGAACGUUGUUCGGAAUUACUGGGCGUAAAGCGCGUGUAGGCGGCUUGGCAAGUCGGGUGUGAAAGCCCCGGGCUCAACCUGGGAAGUGCACUCGAAACUGCUUGGCUUGAGUACUGGAGAGGGAAGCGGAAUUCUCGGUGUAGAGGUGAAAUUCGUAGAUAUCGAGAGGAACACCGGUGGCGAAGGCGGCUUCCUGGACAGUUACUGACGCUGAGACGCGAAAGCGUGGGGAUCAAACAGG